CAGUCGCCGCGGUAAUACGUAGGUGGCAAGCGUUGUCCGGAAUUAUUGGGCGUAAAGGGCUCGCAGGCGGUUUCUUAAGUCUGAUGUGAAAGCCCCCGGCUCAACCGGGGAGGGUCAUUGGAAACUGGGAAACUUGAGUGCAGAAGAGGAGAGUGGAAUUCCACGUGUAGCGGUGAAAUGCGUAGAGAUGUGGAGGAACACCAGUGGCGAAGGCGACUCUCUGGUCUGUAACUGACGCUGAGGAGCGGAAGCGUGGGGAGCGAACAGGAUUAGAUACCCCUGUAGUCCCUGUCUCUUAUAC
This 301-nucleotide ribosomal RNA is filed under the name uncultured bacterium. RNAcentral's name for it is "partial 16S ribosomal RNA". It matches the Rfam family "Bacterial small subunit ribosomal RNA", at positions 509 to 807 of the family's 1533-position model. The record is from RNAcentral.